This 499-nucleotide ribosomal RNA is filed under the name uncultured bacterium. RNAcentral's name for it is "partial 16S ribosomal RNA". It matches the Rfam family "Bacterial small subunit ribosomal RNA", at positions 28 to 507 of the family's 1533-position model. The record is from RNAcentral.
GACGAACGCUGGCGGCGUGCCUAAUACAUGCAAGUCGAGCGAAAAUUUUCUGGUGCUUGCACUAGAAAGACUUAGCGGCGAGCGGGUGAGAAACACGUAAAGAACCUGCCUCAUAGACAGGGACUACGAUAGGAAACGCUAGCUAAUAACGGAAAACAGUAUUUCUCGGAGGGGAGAGGAUUAAAAGUUGGUUAGGCUAACAAUAUGAGGUGGCUUUGCGGUGCAUUAGCUAGUUGGUGGGCUAAAGGCCCACCAAGUCGACGAUGCAUAGCCGACCCGAUAGGGUGAUCGCCCACCCUGGGGCUGAGACACGGCCCAUGCUCCUACGGUAGGCAGCAGUAGGGUAUGUUCCGCAGUGGGCGAAAGCCUUACGGAGCGGCGCCGCGUCAGUUAAGAAGGAUUUCCGUUCGUAAAGCCCUGUUGUUAGUUAAGAACCGAUUUGUAGUAACUAGACAUGUAAGUGACGGUACCCAAUCAGAAAGCCACGGCUAACUACGUG